This 436-nucleotide long non-coding RNA is filed under the name Gallus gallus (chicken). Lineage: Eukaryota; Metazoa; Chordata; Aves; Galliformes; Phasianidae. The record is from RNAcentral.
GGCAGAGAGUCCUGAGCCUGCACUGUUGUCCGUGCCUGCGGGGUGCUGGGUGCUGCCUCCUCAGCUUCUGUGGAGCCAGGCAGGGCAGGAAGGGUGGAUGCAGUGACAGAGCCAUCAGCUGUGCUCGAUGUCCCCGCAGACAGCGUGGCAGUCCCUGCAGCUGACCUUUCCUCUUCCAUGUCCACAGCUCCCACCACAUCACCAUUCACGGUGCUGCUGGCAGUGCCGUUGGCCAUGCUGCUGCUGGGCGUCAGGCUCUUGGGCGGCUGCCGGUGCCGGCUCCGUGCGUUAGGACUUUGCUCCCCACUGCCUGCACCCUGCCUGGAGGCCCCGGCAGCGAGGCGGUGUGUCCUUGAUCUGCUCCCAAAGCAGUUUGUGGUGGCAGACUGAUGUCUGCUCUCCGUGGCUGCAGCCAUGCUGCUGGGGUCCCGUCCAG